This 522-nucleotide ribosomal RNA is filed under the name uncultured Glomus. RNAcentral describes it as "SSU rRNA". It matches the Rfam family "Eukaryotic small subunit ribosomal RNA", at positions 569 to 1092 of the family's 1831-position model. The record is from RNAcentral. Lineage: Eukaryota; Fungi; Glomeromycota; Glomeromycetes; Glomerales; Glomeraceae.
AGCAGCCGCGGUAAUUCCAGCUCCAAUAGCGUAUAUUAAAGUUGUUGCAGUUAAAAAGCUCGUAGUUGAAUUUCGGGAUCAAUAUGUCGGUCGUGCCUUCGGUACGUACUGGUAUCAUUGGUCUCUCCUUUCUGACGAACCAUGAUGUCAUUAAUUUGGUGUUAUGGGGAGUUAGGACUGUUACUUUGAAAAAAUUAGAGUGUUUAGAGCAGGCUUUAGCUUGAAUACAUUAGCAUGGAAUAAUGAAAUAGGACGUUCGAACCUAUUUUGUUGGUUUCUAGGAUCAACGUAAUGAUUAAUAGGGAUAGUUGGGGGCAUUAGUAUUCAAUUGUCAGAGGUGAAAUUCUUGGAUUUAUUGAAGACUAACUACUGCGAAAGCAUUUGCCAAGGAUGUUUUCAUUAAUCAAGAACGAAAGUUAGGGGAUCGAAGACGAUCAGAUACCGUCGUAGUCUUAACCAUAAACUAUGCCGACUAGGGAUCGGAUGAUGUUAAUUUUUUAAUGACUCAUUCGGCGCCUUACG